ACUGAGCCAAGGAUUUUUCUCUGAGUCUGUACCCAAGGGUUCUGCAACCUGGCCAGAGGAAAACCUUCCUUCAAGCUCACUGGGAAUAUCAUCAAAAAUGUGUAAAUCCCAUUACAAGUUUUUGAAAGCAUCUUGCCAGACCAUGCAUGGUUCUCCUCACGCUUGGGGUUUGGUAAUUGUAACAGCUGGCUGGGAUGGAAGGAUCAGAUGGUUCCAGAAUUAUGGAUUGCCAAUUCGUGUUUAGAUAUGUCAAGUUUCAGCAGAUCACGAGGGNNNNNNNNUUUCUUUGAAAACUUUGCCAUUCUUUGGCAACACUCAGGUUUGCAUUAUUUUUUCUGCAGCCUUGUCAAUUGAGUGUGGGAGCCAACGCCAAGCUGAAUCUGCAUCCAUGGCCAUGGCAGGGCCUGUGCUGUAUAGUGUACACGCAUAGGCAGUGGUCAAGAUGUUAAAGAAAUCUUGGUUGUGUCUGGGAGAAGAAGAAUUUUAGGCACGCAAAUUAAAUUGUACUUU
RNAcentral lists this unclassified non-coding RNA (510 nucleotides) under Hevea brasiliensis (rubber tree). The record is from RNAcentral. Lineage: Eukaryota; Viridiplantae; Streptophyta; Magnoliopsida; Malpighiales; Euphorbiaceae.